This 841-nucleotide ribosomal RNA is filed under the name uncultured Bacillota bacterium. RNAcentral describes it as "bacterial SSU rRNA". It matches the Rfam family "Bacterial small subunit ribosomal RNA", at positions 55 to 909 of the family's 1533-position model. Lineage: Bacteria; Bacillati; Bacillota. The record is from RNAcentral.
CUGUAAGUCGAACGUGAGGGAAUAGCAAUAUUCUUGAAAGUGGCGCACGGGUGAGUAAUACGUAGGUAACCUGCCCUGGAGUGGGGGAUAACAGCUAGAAAUGGCUGCUAAUACCGCAUGAGGCCGAGACACUGGGAAGUGUUUUGGCGAAAACUCUGGUGCUUCAGGAGGGGCCUGCGGCCGAUUAGCUAGUUGGCGGGGUAAGAGCCUACCAAGGCAGUGAUCGGUAGCUGGUCUGAGAGGACGAUCAGCCACACGGGAACUGAGACACGGUCCCGACUCCUACGGGGGGCAGCAGUGAGGAAUAUUGGGCAAUGGGCGGAAGCCUGACCCAGCAACGCCGCGUGGAGGAAGACGGCCUUCGGGUUGUAAACUCCUUUUACGGGGGAAGAGGAAGGACGGUACCCCGAGAAUAAGUCACGGCUAACUACGUGCCAGCAGCCGCGGUAAUACGUAGGUGACAAGCGUUAUCCGGAAUUACUGGGCGUAAAGCGCACGCAGGCGGCGCAUUAAGUCUGAUGUGAAAUCUCCCGGCUUAACUGGGAGGGGUCAUUGAAAACUGAUGUGCUUGAGGCGGUGAGAGGGGUGUAGAAUUCCCGGUGUAGUGGUGGAAUGCGUAGAUAUCGGGAGGAAUACCAGUGGCGAAAGCGGCACCCUGGCACUAGCCUGACGCUCAUGUGCGAAGGCGUGGGGAGCGAACGGGAUUAGAUACCCCGGUAGUCCACGCGGUAAGCGAUGAAUACUAGGUGUGGGGGGAGUGAAAUCCYUUCUGUGCCGAAGCAAACGCGCUAAGUAUUCYGCCUGGGGGAGUACGGCCGCAAGGGCUAAAAACUCAAAGGAA